RNA transcript from Malania oleifera, 3686 nucleotides. RefSeq lists it as uncharacterized. NCBI's taxonomy places the organism in Eukaryota, Viridiplantae, Streptophyta, Magnoliopsida, Santalales, Ximeniaceae. The transcript is spliced from 5 exons. The record is from RefSeq and is a predicted model, not a curated record.
UUCUGUUCCUCUCGGUGCAAACGUUUCUCUCUCUCACUGGGUCACUGUUUGUCAAUGGGUAUGAGGUGUAAAUUCCAUCUUUUUUUUCUCUCUCCCCUCUUCCCUUUAUAAAUAGGCCUUUGCUCCUCUCCAUUUUUCUCCUCUUUCCGGUCUGUUUUGGUGUGAGUGGAGAGAGAGAGAGGCCCUCUCUCGACAAAACCCACAUGCUAAGGAUUGAAAUUGAAGGAAGAUCUGAAAAACGCCCACAUAAAAUUCAAAACAUAUCCACACAGUUAUACGUAGAGGGAGAGAUAUACACCUAGAGAAAGAGAGGCACUUCGAUUAAUCUGUUUUCCUUAAAUUCUUUCUCUGCCUCUUCCUCCUCCUCAACGAUGACUCUUUUGUGCCCAACGAAGCUGUAAAAUUUGAUGAACCUUUUUUUUUUCUUUACAAACUUCCCUUCUUCUAAUAUAUUAUUUUCUAUCAUUAAAGCUCUUUAAUUUUAAUUGCGCAGCGGUUUUUUUUUCUGGGUUUUGUUUGAACAGAAUUCUGCUUUGCAAAUUUUUCCCUACCUUGAUAUUUCUUUAUUUCUCUCCCAUAAAUUCUGGGUUUCAACAAUUUGAAUCAGGGUUUUAUUUUUUUAUUAUUGUGUCUUGUGGUUGGUUCGUCUUCUAAGGUCUGAUCGAUCGCCACUGGUAUCAACCCUAAUUGUGGUUUUUGUACUAUUAGGGUUCUGGUCAGGAGGGUGCAGAUUGUAGAUAGAAACUAAGCAUUGUUGGAUUGUUCGGCCGUGUUUUUUUGUUAGCGUAGCAAAUCUUCAGUCGAAUUUUUAUUUAGCUAGCUUUCCAAUUUUUUUUUUUUUGUUUUUUCUGUCAAGUGGAGAUUGUGGGUUCACUAGGUUCGGUUUCAACUCACGGGGCAAGCAUUUGCGAACAUUGAUGUGUGGAAUUUUGUUUGUAAAGAAGCAUUAGAAUGUAGUAGCUGGAGAUGACAAAUUGAGAAUAUCUUCAUUUCAAGGUGAUGGUUUUUUAUUGGCUUAGUAGGCAAGAAAAAGAGUACGGGUGAUAUAGCUUGGUUGAAAUUUCGUUUAUCUUGGUACAGUUGUGGUUGUUCAGUCUUGUUCUACUGUAAACUUGAUCAUUUCAGGCAUGAACAUAGUUUGUAUAUUUAGUUUUAUGCCGAGUUUAAGAUGGGUCAUUUCAGGCAUGUAAAUCGUGAUAAGAGAGAUUUUGGUUAUUGGGUUUCAGAAUCUUUUGUUUGCAAGUGAUCUGAGAAGGUCAUGGAAGGACAAUUGAGCUGCAAAUGACUUCAAGGACAUGGUGCAUGAACAGGUGCACAGUUUCUGGUCUGUUCCUGUCCUGGAACAACAAUGCCAGAAACUAGGUGAGACCUUUCUGCUGGUGGAAGGAUCCUGCAUUGCCAUUUCAAGGACUCUGUGCAAUGUCUCGCUGCUUCCCAUUUCCACCUCCAGGAUAUGAAAAGAAGGCUAAAAUUGAUGUUACAGACUCGCUGAGAAAGGAGAAGCUGAAGGAGAAAAAGCAUAAAAAAAAAAGGACAGAGAAAGAAAAAAAGGAGGGUAAAGAAAAAAAGGAGAAAGAGAGAAGUAAAGAAAAAUGGAAAGAAAAGAAAGACCGUAAGGAGAAGCACAGAGACAAGACAGACAGGGAUAAAGAUGAUGGAAAAAACCGGAACUUGGAUGUGAAAAGAAUUGAAGGGAAGACAGAGUGCUACAAUGGUGAGAAGCUUGGUCCAAACAGCAUGCAGUGUGUUGGGACCAAAGAUUUUAAACUUGUGCAAGAGUUGGAUAGAAGAAUUAGAGAUGAGGAUAAAGCAACGGGUAGCCAAAUGGUCCAAACAAUUAAUGUUGCAGAUCAACAAAGAUAUCGUUUACCAGGAAUGGUGGAGAGCAACCUUGCAGGUUGGGGUGGAGGAAAAGAUAAAAUCAAUUACAAGAAGGAAGACAAUGAAAAGGCCAAUGGACAAAGAAAUAAAGUUGAGGCAACAGGUGCAGAAAAUACAACUGUCCAGAACUAUGCUUGGAUGGAUCAACGAAGAGUUGAAGGAAUCAGUAGACCAAUGGACAAGAAUAAUGUUGAGAAGCAGGAGGGUAAAAAAAGGGGUAAGCACAAGGAAAGUGAUAGUAGAGGGGAGAAACACCUGGGUAGAGACGGAGGGGAUAAAAGCAAGUCAAAAAAAAAAGACAGAAAUAAAGAGAAGAAAAAGGUGGAGGAGAAAACGAAGGAGAUAAGGGAACUGAAUAAGGAGCUGGCUAAAUCUAAAGAAAGUGGUGAGGAGAAUGUACGUACUUGCAUUAUUAAACCAUGGCAACUUUUAAAAGACAGCAACAAGAGUUCUGCUAUUGAGAAAAAUCCUGGCAAGCGAAAAGGUUUUGAGAUAAAUGGAUUUUUGCAUGAUGAUAUUCAACCUAACAAGUUGCCUAGAUCAAUCUCAUCUCUAAACCCAGUUACGGAAAAUCAAACAAAAUUGGAACCAUGCCAAACUGAUAUUGCAUCUCACUCUAAGGGGCGGCAGGCAGACAAUAUGGUGGAUAUCAAGGAACACGAGAUUAAUGGUUUAGUAGGGGUCCCACAAUCAGUUGUAUGCCUAAAAACGCCUCCAUCGGCUGCUGUAUCAGUUAAUGAGAAUGGUAAAGCAUCUGCAAAACCGCCGCAUCCUGAUUCCAAGUAUUUGAACCAGAUACUUCUUGUACCCAAAAUGGAAGAGUGGUCUGAUUUUGAUGAUCAGAAAUGGUUGUUCAGCAGCAAUAACCUCCAGACCAAGUUGCCAAAGGGUUCUUUUAGGGAUGAUGGAAUAGCGGAAGUGUGGGCAGAAGCUCAACAGAUAGAGUCUGCUGGUGUUUCUGCUCUGCCAUAUGUCAUUCCUUUUUGAUUGGUACUGAUUGGGUUUGACACCCACUUCUGUCACCCCAGGUGGUUGUCCUCCCAAGGGAACCUUCAGAAGGCACUUCCAAGUUGAAGUUAAUGGAUUUCCUACCGCAUGUCUCCUUUUAUGAUUCCCCCAAAUUGGGCUCUUUAAAGGAUAGGGCAUCUUUGCACAGCUUGGGUUUGAAGGGGAGCAAAAGGAGAAAAGAAGAGAGUGGGCGGGAGAGCAUUUUGAUAACUCAUUUGCAAGUACUAAUCCACAAGAAUCAUAUUACCACUGAGAGAUAUAGCCUGAGGUUACCAUAUCUUAAACCUAUGCAUUUGGAGAGCGGGAUGUAUUGGUUGGAAAUGGUGAUACUGUUAACAUAUUUUUGGGGUUUUGAUUGAUUGAAGUUUUCAACAACUUGGUAUAAGGGAAAACGAGGAGAUUACUGUGGUAUUUGUUGCACCGCUACAAAAUUUUGGUUUGUAAGAUACAGAUAUCGUUUACGCAAUGUACAAUAGAUGCAAAAAGAAAAGAGGCAGUUUAAUCUUGUUUGUAAACCUGUUGGUGAUUAAAAAUUUAUGCAAUGUGAAGAACUGUUGUUUUCUCUGCCGAUAACUUCAAGCUCCUGUUACACUGUUGUAGUCACUCACUGAUUGUUGUAUGCUAAUUUAUUUCUUUCAAUUUUGUUUGAGAAACAGCGAGUUGUAAUUGUUUUUCUCCAAUGUAUUUUCUUCUAGUAGUUAAUGUGACAUUAUGUUAUAUUUGUAAAUACUAAGAAAAACUAGGAUUUCCGUUCUGUUUAAUGAAAAGCGUUUGCAGGUGAAUGUCAUUUUGAGUCA